Molecule: ribosomal RNA, 253 nt
Filed under: uncultured bacterium
Lineage: Bacteria
Description: partial 16S ribosomal RNA
Rfam family: Bacterial small subunit ribosomal RNA
Source: RNAcentral
UACGGGAGGUGCAAGCGUUGUUCGGAGUGACUGGGCGUAAAGGGCGCGUAGGCUGGCUGGUAAGUCGGUUGUGAAAUCCCAGGGCUUAACCCUGGAAUUGCAGCCGAAACUACCGGUCUUGAAUGUCUGAGGGGUUGGCGGAAUUCUUGGUGUAGGAGUGAAAUCCGUAGAUAUCAAGAGGAACACCGGAGGCGAAGGCGGCCAACUGGCAGAACAUUGACGCUGAUGCGCGAAAGCGUGGGGAGCAAACAGG